Molecule: ribosomal RNA, 261 nt
Filed under: uncultured bacterium
Lineage: Bacteria
Description: partial 16S ribosomal RNA
Rfam family: Bacterial small subunit ribosomal RNA
Source: RNAcentral
AGCGAACGCUGGCGGCAGGCCUAACACAUGCAAGUCGAACGGACUCUUCGGAGUUAGUGGCGGACGGGUGAGUAACACGUGGGAACGUGCCUUUAGGUUCGGAAUAAGCCCGGGAAACUGGGUCUAAUACCGAAUGUGCCCUUCGGGGAAGGAUUAUCGCCUUAGUAGCGGCCCGCGUCUGAUUAGCUAGUUGGUGGUGUAAUGGACCACCAAGGCGACGAUCAGUAGCUGGUCUGAGAGGAUGACCAGCCACAUUGGGAC